Molecule: ribosomal RNA, 576 nt
Filed under: Triticum aestivum (bread wheat)
Lineage: Eukaryota; Viridiplantae; Streptophyta; Magnoliopsida; Poales; Poaceae
Description: partial small subunit ribosomal RNA
Source: RNAcentral
GUCGUGCGCAAGGCGAACGGGAAAUGGAGACUUUGUAUCGACUUUAUCGAUGUUAACAAAGCUUGUCCCAAAGACCCAUUUCCUUUGCCGCGCAUUGACCAGAUUGUUGACUCCACGGCCGGAUGUGACUUGCUUUCAUUUCUUGACGCAUACUCAGGAUACCAUCAGAUCUUCAUGGCAGAAGAGGAUGAGGAGAAGACCGCAUUCAUCACUCCAUGUGGCACGGUAGUCCAUGUCGCUCUUGAGCCACAAAUACACAGAAAUGUGGAAGCCUACAUGGAUGACAUAGUGGUCAAGAGCAAGGACAAGGCAACUCUGAUUCAAGAUUUAGACGAGACCUUUGCAAAUCUGCGCAAGAUCAGCCUCAAGCUCAACCCCGAGAAGUGUGUGUUUGGAGUCCCCUCUGGCAAGCUUCUCGGGUUCUUCGUGUCUCAGCGGGGAAUCGAAGCCAAUCCCGACAAGAUCAAGGCCAUUGAGCAGAUUGAAGCACCAAAGCGCGUCAAAGAUGUACAAAGACUUGCCGGUUGCGUGGCUGCUCUCAGCAGGUUUAUCUCUAGGUCUGCUGAGCGCAACAUG